Molecule: ribosomal RNA, 510 nt
Filed under: uncultured bacterium
Lineage: Bacteria
Description: partial 16S ribosomal RNA
Rfam family: Bacterial small subunit ribosomal RNA
Source: RNAcentral
GACGAACGCUGGCGGCGUGCUUAACACAUGCAAGUCGAACGAAGAGCGAUGGAAGCUUGCUUCUAUCAAUCUUAGUGGCGAACGGGUGAGUAACGCGUAAUCAACCUGCCCUUCAGAGGGGGACAACAGUUGGAAACGACUGCUAAUACCGCAUACGAUCUAAUCUCGGCAUCGAGGAAAGAUGAAAGGUGGCCUCUAUUUAUAAGCUAUCACUGAAGGAGGGGAUUGCGUCUGAUUAGCUAGUUGGAGGGGUAACGGCCCACCAAGGCGAUGAUCAGUAGCCGGUCUGAGAGGAUGAACGGCCACAUUGGGACUGAGACACGGCCCAGACUCCUACGGGAGGCAGCAGUGGGGAAUCUUCCGCAAUGGACGAAAGUCUGACGGAGCAACGCCGCGUGGGUGAUGACGGCCUUCGGGUUGUAAAGCUCUGUUAAUCGGGACGAAAGGCCUUCUUGCGAACAGUUAGAAGGAUUGACGGUACCGGAAUAGAAAGCCACGGCUAACUACGUG